CUCGUAGGCUGUUUGGUCAGUCAGACGUGAAAGCCCACGGCUCAACCGUGGAACUGCGUUUGAUACUGCCAGACUUGAGUGUCGGAGAGGGUGGCGGAAUUCCGGGUGUAGGAGUGAAAUCCGUAGAUAUCCGGAGGAACACCAGUGGCGAAGGCGGCCGCCUGGACGACAACUGACGCUGAGGAGCGAAAGCGUGGGGAGCAAACAG
This 208-nucleotide ribosomal RNA is filed under the name uncultured delta proteobacterium. Its description in RNAcentral is "partial 16S ribosomal RNA". It matches the Rfam family "Bacterial small subunit ribosomal RNA", at positions 568 to 775 of the family's 1533-position model. Lineage: Bacteria; Deltaproteobacteria. The record is from RNAcentral.